This 497-nucleotide ribosomal RNA is filed under the name uncultured bacterium. Its description in RNAcentral is "partial 16S ribosomal RNA". It matches the Rfam family "Bacterial small subunit ribosomal RNA", at positions 28 to 507 of the family's 1533-position model. The record is from RNAcentral.
GAUGAACGCUGGCGGCGUGCCUAAUACAUGCAAGUCGAGCGAACAGACGAGGAGCUUGCUCCUCUGACGUUAGCGGCGGACGGGUGAGUAACACGUGGAUAACCUACCUAUAAGACUGGGAUAACUUCGGGAAACCGGAGCUAAUACCGGAUAAUAUAUUGAACCGCAUGGUUCAAUAGUGAAAGACGGUUUUGCUGUCACUUAUAGAUGGAUCCGCGCCGCAUUAGCUAGUUGGUAAGGUAACGGCUUACCAAGGCAACGAUGCGUAGCCGACCUGAGAGGGUGAUCGGCCACACUGGAACUGAGACACGAUCCAGACUCCUACGGGAGGCAGCAGUAGGGAAUCUUCCGCAAUGGGCGUAAGCCUGACGGAGCAACGCCGCGUGAGUGAUGAAGGUCUUCGGAUCGUAAAACUCUGUUAUUAGGGAAGAACAAAUGUGUAAGUAACUAUGCACGUCUUGACGGUACCUAAUCAGAAAGCCACGGCUAACUACGUG